UUUUUGAUGUGCCAUCGCGGUAAGUUUCAUAUGUGAUGAGAUGUCAUGAGCACAUUUAUGUUUCAGAGACAAGAGUCCCGGCUGUGGUUUUCGAGAGGAGGACAGAGUGGUGAAAGCUGUAGAAGAAGGAAUCGCAAUGAGGGCCAUUUCUUGAAGAACCUUCAUCGAGCUACAAAUCAUAUUAUGGGGAGCAAGACAAAGUAAGUCAUUGCGGAGACUCGCACUCUUCCUCCAGCAGUGAAGAGCAUGAUUCGUACAGUCCAAAGCAUGAACAAUCUCGUCGAAGACCAUCUCCAUUUCGCAAACGGAUGCGCACAGACUCACACACAUCAGCGGUGCACCAUGUAAGGCAAGAGCCUUGUCCUUCAAGUGAUCCGCAAGGAUCAACUUUGAUUAAGUAUUUAACAGAAAAACUAUCGGAAAAGGAGACUGAAGUUGUCGCUCUGCAUCGCAUGAAUGAGCGGCUAAAAAUUGAGAAAGCGGACCUAGAGAAAUACAUUUUAAUCCCGGCAAUCCGCAGUAGAAUUGAAGAGUUGGAACGGAUGUUUCUGCCACCCACUAUGCGAAAAUUGAAGCGUAAGGAAAAAUGGAAUUGUAUUAUGUUUGGAAACGCUAAAAAUUUAAGAUUUGUUGAUAUGAUAAUGUCCCUCCGAGGAAGAAUCCUCCCACAAUUACACAAGGAGUUUGUGCUUAUGAUUACUAAGCUAUAUGGUGAUUUUAGUGAUAUAGCUGCCCGCAAGAUAAAAUACCCUACAGUACAUAAUGAAAAUCUGUAAUAGAAACGCUCAUUUAUGUUGAUAUUGAGCCUAACAAAACAAACGUCUCAGCAAUUGCGGCUCUCUUAGCACCACUAUGAAUUUUUUGUGUGUUUAAUUUAAUUUAUUUUUUUAAAAUAAUAGUAAAGUAUUUUAUUAACUUGUUUGAGAACAUUAAAAUUAUCAUAAUCGUAUAAGGUGAAUGUACCGGUAAUAGACACCCAUAAGACAAUUUUGACUUAUUUUUGCCCGUAACUUUUGAUCAACCUGACCAAAUUUGUUGAUCUUGGUCCUAAAUGAAAGCUAAAGAUUCAAUAUUUCAAGUUCUAAAAUCACAUUAAACUUUAAGAGCAACUGAAAUCCUACAUUCAUCAUACAUAGGGUGUUCAAAAAGUAAUGCACGUUUCCGUUUUUUGAGUGAACGGAAACAGCCAUCAAUUUCCGAUUUGCAUGUGCUUAAAGUAGACGUAAAUACCAAUAAAAAAAAGACCAAGAACAGCUCUGUGGCUUAAAAAUUGACUGAGUGACAGGGUUUUGAAAAUGAUAUGUCGAGGGACACCCUUCAGGAUUUUUAGCUACAAGUAUGUUUGUCAAGAAAAAUCGUUAAAUGAGAAUUGAGUGUUUUUAUUUAAAAAACUUACAAAAUCUUGCAGAAAUUGACGAACUUCAAGCUUCUUCAUCGGAUGACAUGGCUAACUCAUUAUUCGGCUGUUUUUCGAAGUAUUCUCCACCGCUUUGAACACAAAGCUUCAGCCGUUCUGCGUGAAUUAAAAUCGAUAUUUAUAUCUGGAACUCGGGAGAAUAUAUUCUUUUCCCCCAGAAAAUCCUGAAGAAGUGGGAGAAAACUUGGAUUUCUCAUCAGGGAAGGAGCUCCUGAAAUCAGGGAAAAAUCAGGGGAUGAGCUUGGUCAAGAAACGAGACACCAUGCUGUAGGCAUAAGCAAAAGCUACAAAGAAAAGUGGGAAGGUGGCCACCGAUAUUUUUUUAAAAGAAAUUUACAGGACUUCAAUUCUGCAAUUUAACAUGGCACAUAUCUAAAAGUUUAAAGAAAAGUACUCGGUCAAAACUUUUCUGGAAAAUAAAUAUUUUGGCAGAGAAAAUUUGGCAACUCUCUAAUACUCAUAAGGCGUUUUCUUCAGCAUAGGGUAGUUAGCAUAGGCGUUUUUCUUUCAAUAGGAUAGAUGAGGGUGAUAAAAAGUAACAAAACCAGCAGUUUGAUAAAAGACUAACUAUAUUUAAAACAGACAAGAUACAAACUUUAUGAAAGGGGGGAAAAAGGAAAUAGGUAAGCAUGAAAUUAAUGAAAAUGACAGUGAUUCUGCUGUUUGCUGCAAAAACGCCAUGACUCCAUUCAAAUGUUAUAAUUAUUCUCAACAAACGUUCUAUCGUACAAAAAGCGAGAAAUAUUUAUCUUGUAAAUUCUUAAGGUGAUCGUCAUAUACCAUUGAAUAUACAUAUUGAAAAAUGAAACAUGAUUUUGAUCAAAGAUUUUGCACAGACGAGCCAGAAGGAUAAAUGCAAAAUCUGAAAUGAAGUUACAGCGUAUACUAUGGAUGGUAGGAUUUGCGUACAAAGUGACAGUUGCAAGAAUUACUUUCAAAAAGAAAAUUUUUGAUUAAGUCAAAGAUGAUGCGGAAAAAAUAAUAUUGACAAAAUCUUGGCAGGUAUUACAACCAGGGUGAACAAUGCUUAGUUGAUGGGAAUAACAAUUUCAGAGAUUAUUAACUGAAACACUUUUCAAUUUUUCCUCUAAAAUUAAUUUCUUAGGUUCCUUUUUCAGUUUCAAGUCUUCAAUUCUUCCAAACCAUUCAGUUCAUCCACAUUAAUUUUAAUUACUAGUGUGCAGCUGAUAGCUAUAUAGGUUAGAGUCAGCCAAUCAUGCAAAGGCUUGCUGUCUCGCCACCCGCGACGUCAGCAAGUCUAUAUAAGCAUGCGCUGCUCCUAAGCAUGCGCUGCUCCUAAAACUACGUCUUUUAACAUUUCUCGGACCAGUGAAACACAUCACUUUUUAAGAGGUCUUUUCCUCCACUUUUCUGACCAGUGUCUUCUAUGUGCAUUUUGUGAAACUUCGACAUUUCUUUUCUUUUGUGCAACAAUCUCAUUUAUUCUCUCUCGGAUAUUUUUGUGAGCCAAGGAUACGAUUUAUUGUGUUUUGGAUAUUUGUGCAUCACCAACUCGCUCUAUUCAUUUAAUACAGUGCAAAACUUUCAUCUUGAACUUUAUCUCUUUUUAUUUCAUUCUGCGUCUCCGUUUAAGUAUCCCAUGUCCAGGGGCGGAACCAGCAAUUUGCAACAACAGAUUCCCUCCAUUUAAACCUAUGUUAAAUAAUCGAUUCUUGGGGGGGCACCUGGCCCCCUCAAGAAUCUAUACAUUUCCAUAGGUUUAAAUGAAUAAUAGACAAUGUUGCCAAUUUGCUGGAUCCGCCGAUGCCCAUGUCAUCAUAGUUUGUUGGCUCUAUUAUAAAAGGUGACUGGUGCCGAAACGGACAUUUGAAUAUCACUCCCUCUCAUGCACUUGCAAAAUAGUGCAUAAAAACACUCUUAUUUGUCAAAACGCGCUUUACUUAUUACAUUAACAAGAGAGGCAAAUGCAUUCAUUACCACAGAAUCUGCUGGCGCUCUAAAUGCCUCCGUUUUUCGACAAACUGACACUAUUUUCUUAUUUGAUUAAUUUCAAAACCAAA
This 3438-nucleotide long non-coding RNA is filed under the name Bemisia tabaci. Its description in RNAcentral is "lncRNA ENSSSA1UGG006131". The record is from RNAcentral. Lineage: Eukaryota; Metazoa; Arthropoda; Insecta; Hemiptera; Aleyrodidae.